GGGACCGAGGUGUUACCGGCAGCACGCCCGGCUCUUAACCGGCGAGGACAGGGUUCAAGUCCCUGGGGUCCCAC
This 74-nucleotide transfer RNA is filed under the name Lignipirellula cremea. RNAcentral's name for it is "Planctomycetes bacterium Pla85_3_4 tRNA-Lys". It matches the Rfam family "tRNA". From Rfam's summary of the family: Transfer RNA (tRNA) molecules are approximately 80 nucleotides in length. The record is from RNAcentral. Lineage: Bacteria; Pseudomonadati; Planctomycetota; Planctomycetia; Pirellulales; Pirellulaceae.